AUACUCUUAAUGAUUCCCAUGUUAAAGUUAUGGAUUAUGCUGUGCUCAAACAACUGAGAUAUUGCCAGCUCUUUUGAUAUGCUUGUUGGCUAGUAGUCAUUAUACGCAUGUGUUGCUCGGUGGGCUGCUGCGUUAUUCGUCUGGUUGCACAGAAUAAUGUGUAGCCAGCUCCUGGGGAUAGAGAGGAAGCAACUAGGUGAUUAACUUCACCAGAAGAAGCCAGAACUGAGAAGCAAUUGACCUUGGAGGAGUUGUUACAGGUUGCAUGUAGGAGUCCUUAGCUGAAGGCAUUGUCCUUAAAUUGCUG
Molecule: unclassified non-coding RNA, 307 nt
Filed under: Hevea brasiliensis (rubber tree)
Lineage: Eukaryota; Viridiplantae; Streptophyta; Magnoliopsida; Malpighiales; Euphorbiaceae
Source: RNAcentral